GACAGAGGUGCCAAGCGUUAGGCGGAAUCACUGGGCUUAAAGCGUGUGUAGGCGGAUCGUUAAGUACCUUGUGAAAUCCCACGGCUCAACCGUGGAACUGCUGGGUAUACUGGCGAUCUUGAGCCACCUAGGGGCGAGCGGAACAAACGGUGGAGCGGUGAAAUGCGUAGAUAUCGUUUGGAACGCCAACGGUGAAGACAGCUCGCUGGGGGUGUGCUGACGCUGAGACACGAAAGCCAGGGGAGCGAACGGG
Molecule: ribosomal RNA, 253 nt
Filed under: uncultured bacterium
Lineage: Bacteria
Description: partial 16S ribosomal RNA
Rfam family: Bacterial small subunit ribosomal RNA
Source: RNAcentral